This 902-nucleotide ribosomal RNA is filed under the name human gut metagenome. RNAcentral's name for it is "bacterial SSU rRNA". It matches the Rfam family "Bacterial small subunit ribosomal RNA", at positions 8 to 900 of the family's 1533-position model. The record is from RNAcentral.
AGAGUUUGAUCCUGGCUCAGGAUGAACGCUAGCUACAGGCUUAACACAUGCAAGUCGAGGGGAAGCGCGGCGGAAGCUUGCUUCCGCUGGGCGGCGACCGGCGCACGGGUGCGUAACGCGUAUCCAACUUGCCCUUGUCCCGGGGAUAGCCUCGCGAAAGCGAGAAUAAUACCCGGUGUAGCCACGGUUCCGCAUGGAAUUGUGGCGAUAGGUCCGCCGGACAAGGAUAGGGAUGCGUCCCAUUAGGCAGUAGGCGGGGUAACGGCCCACCUAACCGACGAUGGGUAGGGGUUCUGAGAGGAAGGUCCCCCACAUUGGAACUGAGACACGGUCCAAACUCCUACGGGAGGCAGCAGUGAGGAAUAUUGGUCAAUGGGCGCGAGCCUGAACCAGCCAAGUAGCGUGCAGGAAGACGGCCCUAUGGGUUGUAAACUGCUUUUGCAGGAGGAUAAUAUGUCCCACGUGUGGGAUAUUGCAGGUAUCCUGCGAAUAAGGACCGGCUAAUUCCGUGCCAGCAGCCGCGGUAAUACGGAAGGUCCGGGCGUUAUCCGGAUUUAUUGGGUUUAAAGGGAGCGUAGGCGGGAGAUUAAGUCAGUUGUGAAAAGCAGCCGCUCAACGGUUGUCGUGCAGCUUGAUACUGGUUUUCUUGAGUGCGCGCGAGGAUGGUGGAAUUUGUGGUGUAGCGGUGAAAUGCUUAGAUAUCACAAAGAACUCCGAUUGCGAAGGCAGCUGUCCGGAGCGCAACUGACGCUGAGGCUCGAAGGUGCGGGUAUCAAACAGGAUUAGAUACCCUGGUAGUCCGCACGGUAAACGAUGGAUGCUAGUGGUCGGCGACAGACUGUCGGUCACCGAGCGAAAGCGUUAAGCAUCCCACCUGGGGAGUACGCCGGCAACGGUGAAAC